Long non-coding RNA from Sorghum bicolor (sorghum), 1864 nucleotides. RefSeq lists it as uncharacterized. The transcript is spliced from 4 exons. Lineage: Eukaryota; Viridiplantae; Streptophyta; Magnoliopsida; Poales; Poaceae. The record is from RefSeq and is a predicted model, not a curated record.
AGCCAUGCAGCCAAAAAAAAAGGAAACGGACUCCCUUCUCUCACAAAAAAGCUCGAAGCCUCUCUCUCGUCUCUCCCGACGCGGCAGUGGGCAGAGCGACGGCGCCUCCAGCCGCCGGGGUGCCCCACCGCCGCCUCACCUCCUCUGCUUCCCCCACCACGGCACCGCCUCCUCUGCACCCUCUCCCUUCUGGAUCUCUCUCAUCGCGGAGUCUCCCAGCCGCAUAGUGGUGGUGUCCUCGCCGCGUUCACCUUCUUCUUCCUGGGCUCUCGUCGGUUCCGGACGUCCACGACCGGAUCGAAGGCCUCCAUGUCCGGAUCCGUUCGUUCCUCCACCGGAUCUGGCCUGGAGGCGUCUACUCGCUACGUCCGGCGUCGAGGGAUGCGGCAUGGAUGGGAACGUCCUGUGGAUGUGUACUUGCUACGUGGUGUUCAUACACUGCAGUUGAGAAAACUCUAGGUACAUGUUCUUCCUUGUUUCUAUUUUUUAGGCUUUUUCCCCAAAUCUAAUUCUGAUGCGUUUUGCCCAAAUCUUAUUCUGAUGCUUGGUUCUCUAUAUUAGUAAUGGUGAAACAACAGCUAAGGCUUAUCAACAGAGUUGAAAAGAGGGAAGGGGGUCAUACCUGAUGGGGAUGAAUGAGUGGAAUGGGUGGAGGUUGACGUCAAUCUUCCUAGUUUGUGCGUCUUCAUUUGUGUGAUCCAAAUUAUAGUCUAAAAAUCAAUAUAAAUUGCUAGGACCUGUCAGCGACAUAUGGUCUAUUUUUCUUGGUUUUAGCACCUACGGAGUACUCUCUGUUUAUAUAAAAAAUUGAUAAUUUUGAAUGGAGUGUAUGACACUCCUGGUGUACCUUCCAGCUGAGGAGGGCUAAUAAUUUGGCUUUUUGCUUUGUGCCUCUGAUCGACAUCCGUCAAUUAUAUCAACAGAUGCAUAUAUGUUUUCCUACAUGUUCUGUGUUCAGUACAAUGUAAAGCUCCUAUUUGUAGACUACAUGGUUGAACUGGGACUGGUAUACUCAUGCUCUGCCCUUGCCUUCAUGGCUUGGUGAUGUAUCUUUUUAUUAUUAGGCAUUGUUUGUGGUUCCUUUAAUAUCUUGCACGUUCAAGCUGAUGCUUUGAUUAUUUCUUUCAGGUUCCAUAUUCACUUAUUCAGUGCCGCACUAAUGCUUUGAUUGUUUCUUUCAGUUCCAUUCACUGUUUUUAAUGAAGCAUAUUUGAUGUUCCUGGCCAGUGGCGCUAGUCGGCUAUUUUCAUGGUGUAUAAUGGGAGUGUGCAGUUCAUCUUGCCCAUCAAAAUGUGAUUGUGAUUGGUUUAACUGUUGAUCUUUAAUGUUUGCUAAGUCAGAAUAUUUUCUUAGAAAAGAUUAUAAACCACGGACGGACCUUGCUGCAAACUGAUAUUUCAAAAUGCUUUAUCAAAUGCUCCACAAACGAAAGUUGGGACGUGACUAGCUAUUUUGGUUUGUACCUGUAAGGACCGUAAUUGUUUCAGGUGUGUUCACCUUUGUCAUUGCUGCAGAACUGGCCAGUCCCCUGAUUCUUGUUUUUUUCUGACAAGUAAUUCCAACAACUACCAAAAGGACAUGGAGAGAUUUCAGCAACUUAAGUUAUUUGCUCAUGACACCAAGAAUAAUUAGCUGCUAGCACUGUCUGUUAGGACUAUUAGUUUGGUGACAAAUGUCGCUUGUGAGACAGGGAUGUGAAAUAUCUAUUUGUUUAUUUUAUCUAAGAUACCUUUGUGACUAAGGUCAAUUCUUGAACAAAUACUUUGGUGUUUGCGAUGAAUGUAACAAAGAUGUUGAUAUGUGACUUGUGAACUUGUGUAUUUGAUCGUGCAUGGAAUAUAUUGUUGGGCACACAUGUUAUUUU